CCCCACUAUGCCUAGCCAUAAACUUUAAUAGAAAUCAACUAACUAUUCGCCAGAAUACUACAAGCAAAACGCUUGAAACUCAAAGGACUUGGUGGUGUCCCAUAUCGUCCUAGAGGAGCCUGUCCUAUAAUCGAUACUCCACGAUAAACCUUACCAUUUUUGGCCACUCCAGCCUAUAUACCGCCGUCGCCAGCCUACCCCAUGAGGGCUCAUCAGUAGGCAAAAUUGUUUUCACACAAAAACGUCAGGUCAAGGUGUAGCUUAUAAAAUGGGAGAGAUGGGCUACAUUUUCUAAAUUAGAAAAUACGAACAAUACAAUGAAACCUUGUAUUAGAAGGAGGAUUUAGCAGUAAAAUAAACAGAAAAAUUAUUUUAAAAAAGCUCUG
This 386-nucleotide ribosomal RNA is filed under the name Tracheloptychus petersi. RNAcentral's name for it is "partial 12S ribosomal RNA". It matches the Rfam family "Bacterial small subunit ribosomal RNA", at positions 785 to 1376 of the family's 1533-position model. The record is from RNAcentral. Lineage: Eukaryota; Metazoa; Chordata; Lepidosauria; Squamata; Gerrhosauridae.